Molecule: long non-coding RNA, 345 nt
Organism: Ctenocephalides felis (cat flea)
Lineage: Eukaryota; Metazoa; Arthropoda; Insecta; Siphonaptera; Pulicidae
Exons: 3
Source: RefSeq, a predicted model, not a curated record
AUCAGAUUCAGAUAUUAUCUAGAUAACGAACAGACUAUUUCGGGCUCCCUCAUAGAUAAAGUAUAAAGGCUGUCUUCAACAACAAAUUUUGAAGGGGCAGUGAGAAGGAGGAGUAAGCUUAAAGUCGCACAUGACAUCAGAUAUGAAUUUGGGGACGGUGCAGAAGCGAGUUCGAACAAUGAAUCAUGAUGAAGUUGAGGCUGAGCCCAAUGUUACCUGAGGGAGGCACAGCUUUGGUGCAAGUUAUGCUCAUCAUAUAACAUUAUUACCAGCCAGAUCUGCAGGAUAAUCUUUUCAAUUAUAGAACUGCUAGAAACAGUAACAUAUCCAUAGGAGAAAACAGGG